This is a long non-coding RNA of Epinephelus moara (kelp grouper), 881 nucleotides long. RefSeq lists it as uncharacterized. NCBI's taxonomy places the organism in Eukaryota, Metazoa, Chordata, Actinopteri, Perciformes, Serranidae. The record is from RefSeq and is a predicted model, not a curated record. The transcript is spliced from 2 exons.
CAUCUCUCCGGAAGCCAAGUGUUUUUCUUUUGCAAGCACUGGUUUCUUGUCGGACCGGUCGGAGUGACAGCUACAUCCGGUUCAUGGAAGCUAACGCUUUGGCCAACAACCGCUGCGCGUGGAGGCUGCAAACUUGGAGAAAUUGUUCAAUAUGAGAACAAAAUGAAUGCAUCAAUGUUCAAUGGGAAGCGACCAGGUGGACUUCAAACCAGGGUUCCACCAGUCGAAAGUGACGACAGCUGUCUUGACAGUGGGGAUAGUGAUGAAGACUACACUCCUACACCACGUCGGCACUAUCCACUAAGCUACCGACGCUCCUAUUGCUGCCGGUUUCAUCACCUGGUCAGGAGUAUAGUCUGUACGCAGCAUGCACAGACCCUAUGCACAGAGGCACCGCCUCGCCGCAGCGGUCGCGGGCUCGAUCCCAGCCUGCGGCUCGUGUCAAUCCCCCAUUCUCUAUUUCCCCACUUCAUGCUGUCCUAAAGCAACAGGCCAAAUAGAUAAUCUUAUUUUUUUUAAAACAGCAGUAACAAUGCUAAAAUUUCGUGUAGAGUUUCAGCUUUUUGCGGUUUACACAUGGCCAUAUGUUUGUGAAUGUAACCAUGUGUACAAGAUGUGUGUAUAAUAUAGGCCUAGAUAAAAAAUGUCUGCACUCUUAUACAGUGAUUUCUUUUUUCUACACCAGGUGAUGAAAGCAGCAGCAGCUAGUACUGACAACAGGAGCAGCAGUGAUGAAGACUCUGAUGGAAAUCACGAUGCUCUUCCUAGCACCAGUGUUCUAAGUGAAAAGCUUGAGCUCUGUUUCACAUUGGAUUAUAGCUGUUAUAGUCAGGACAUUGAAAAUAAUUGUGUGGCAUCAAUAAAAUCUACACACCUGAGAC